Molecule: long non-coding RNA, 7152 nt
Organism: Hydractinia symbiolongicarpus
Lineage: Eukaryota; Metazoa; Cnidaria; Hydrozoa; Anthoathecata; Hydractiniidae
Exons: 3
Source: RefSeq, a predicted model, not a curated record
AGACACGCGCUUUCUAUGCAACUGGUAAAUCCAGGAAUUAAAGAUGGCUACUGUAAACCUGCGGUUGAGUUUGCAGCAUUGCUAUCAAAGUUACGCCAGGGUCAUUUUUGCUAUGAAUAAAAAGUGUGAACAUAGGGUGGAUUCGAGUGCACCCAUACUCAUCAACCAUAAUCUCAUAUUAAAUGGAUCAAAGUGAAUCGAGGAAAUACUUAUCUUAAAAAAUACCCAAAUGUAGUUAUGUAAUUUCACUUUUUAAAGAAAAAAAUUUGAUAUGAAAUAAACAUUUCUUUUUAUCACUUUGUUGCCGUUAUAACCGUUAUAGUAGUAAGAGGGGAAGUGUGAAUCGGGGGAUAGAGGCGAUCUGGAAAUAAUCGCAAGAAUAGUAUCAAUGUAUGGACUAUCGUUGAUAAAAACUGAAGAUAAACAAGAUUAGAAAAAGUUAUCCCACAUUGUAAAAACAUUACCAACACUUUUUUUUUCUUAAUACCAAGCUGUUUUUUAUUUGAAUCAAUUUCAUUAGAGGUCCGUACAAAGCAACGCUUUUUGAGGGUUUGCAAGAUUCUUCUCCUUGUAGCUGUUGUUCCUUCUGGAGACUGAUAUUAGGAAGCCUAAAAAUGCUAUUUUAAGAUGUUCUUGGAACAAAAAAAAAAUUAGAAAUUGUUUUUGGUUUAUUUAUUUCUUAUUUUUAUUAAGCCAUGCAACUUCUGGAAUAUUUUUUAUUCGUUUGAAAUUUUGUGGUCCAUAAAAAUCUUACUUUUUUUUAUAUACAUUUUUUUCUUACAUAAAAAUGUGCAUGAUUUUAGGAUGUGUUAGGGCUGCUCUGAAACGAGUAACCUUUCAAUAAAUUUCUACAAAAUAAGCAACAAAAAUAUAUAAAAUAUUUGGGAGAUAUUAUUUUCUUUAUCUUAGAACAUGUUUUGAUCUAUUUUAAGUAGUAAUUGUUUAACUAAAAAUGAAUGAAAAUAAAAACUAUUUACAUAAAAAAAGGGAAAAACUUCAUUUACUCAGAGUACAUCUAACAAGAUUAUGACAGAAUGUGUUUCAUAGAAAGGCUUUGAAUCUGACACGACCCACAUGAAAUGCUGUUAUCCUACAUGAAAUGGUGUCAUCCAAUUUCGCUCAUGAGCAAAACACCAUCCCAAUGACAAAUAUUUGCUCGCUUUUCGUCUAAUUAUUUGACUAAUGGGUACAAAAAUAGAUAAUGAAACUAACAGCUACCCUUAGGUCUGUGUAAAUACAGGAUUAAAUACAGCGAACUGAGUAAAUACAGUGAAUUAGCUCUGCGUGAUAUAUUUAGCGGAAAUAUAACGGGUCGUCUCCAAUUCCAGAUUAACAAAUUUUACUUUUAUAAAUAAAAUGUUGGCCACCUGAAAAAACCCCAAAAUUCUAACGAAUAACAUCUCAGCAAAAAACUUCCGUGGAGAUACAUAAUUAUUUUUAAUUUUUAACUGUUUUUUUAAAUAAAAAUUACAUUGACUUUGACCUUGACAGCAUGCAAAUUACAAAUAGCGAAAUUAGACAGAUGGGAUUCAACUUUUAUUCGUUUCCUAGAUGGCAAAUAAACAAAGCUUGAGUUUGCUUGAUUUAAAUGUGAGAAUCAGUUCAUUUGGCGCCCCAACAAAGUCUUAUCCAAGUAGUCUCAUAAACCAACGAAAGUUCGAAGGGGUAUAGGCACUAGAACUAAAAUAAGCGAACAGCCGUUUCUUUUCUAAAAAAUGUUUCCCUUGUCUCAAAUUUAAAUGCCUUAACGUUUUUUCGGAUGGAUUUUUGGUAAUAUUUUGGGUUACGGCUGGGUUACGUUUAACAGCUAAUGUACAAAAUUUUACAGAAAUUAUGAAAAGACAAGUGUUGUAAAUUUUAAAGAAACACUUGAUUAAGUUCUUCUUCAAAUGUUAUGUUCAAACACAGAGAUUGGAAGAAACAAUCACGUGACCACAAUAUCUGUUCUGUUUUGGUGAUUUUUUUUUUCUUUGUUACUCAUCGUCUAACUUGAAACCCGCUGAGCCCUACGAACUUCAAAAACAGUUUUUCAUUCAAUUUUUAAUUACCUUAAGGCUAUUUUGUUCAAAGUGCUAAAUUAGUUCUUUGUCUAUUAAAAGUUUAGUUUCUGCCAUAAAAUUAUACUGGUCAAUUAUGUUGUUUGACUCAAGUCCUUUGUAAUUAUUUAAUGUCAUCUAAUUAGAGUGUUGAAGAAUAAUAAUUCAUUGUAUGGAGAUAUUGCCCACUAAGCAUUUAUAUUUCAACGCGCCAACGCUAUUAAUUAUAUAUAUUUUUAAAUUUUUUAUUUAUAAGAAUUACAAUAUUUGAUUUGGAAGUUCUAUAUAAUCAAAUUUCAAUGUGAAAUACAUCAUAGCCUUUUCUAUAAAUGUCAGAAUAAAGUUUGUAAAGAAAUCUUAAGGACAAAAAAGAAUUUUUUCAGAAUAAUUGGAAGGGACUUAUCUUGGAAUUUAAACUUUCCCUGGCUAUGUUGGUGUAAAAAUAGAAAGGGAUGUACAAGAAGCGUGACAAGCACCGGCAUCUGCAAACGUCCGAUAUUCAAGAGCUAACCUUCAACAACUAUGCUUGACUAUUGGCUAUAUACUCUUUUCCAAUGUUGAUAUUGAAAUUCAACCGUGAAAUACUGACUUCUAUCUAAGUGAACGAUAUAUUUACGGAAGAACUUUUUGCAAAUAAGUGGUCCCAAAAUACUGGGUCACUUUGUGCAACAUAUUUUUCCGAAAUUCACGAAUUUAAUUUUUCAGGAUGCUACAAUCAGAAUUUUGUCUAAUAUAGUUUUAAUAAAUAAAAAAGUCUACGUGAAAUCGAGAGAUGAGGAAAUGAAAUUUUUACAAAACACAAGCAAUGAAGAAUUUUGCGAAUCAAGGUAACGUAUAAAUUUGGAUAUAAUUAUAAAUAAAUAAAUCAAAAACAAAAGUUGCUCAAAGAUCUCUUCCGCAAAAUUAACUUGUCCCCUAAAAAUAAUUAUAAGUAACCAUCCCAAAAAUUAAAGAAGUUGUUAUUGUUUUUUUUUACUAUGAAAAACUCUUUAAAAAGGUUUUUAUACGAAAUGCUGUGGCUCGGUCAUUCAGUUUUAUUGCGAAAUUGAAAUACACGUCUUUUUUUUUUAUAAGAAACAAACUUUUUGAGGUCAUCCUGAAUUUCUUAAUUUUAAAGAAGCCUUUUAAAAUUUUUGUAGUCAGACCUCUGUGUUGUUCCCUCAAAACUCUUUUUAGCUAGAUUUCUUUCAAUCUAUCAAUUUACUUUUUAAUUUUCUCAACAUUUGUGAGUUAGCAGUUCGAGUUAGGAAACAUUGUGUUUCUUAUAAAAACGGACGUGUAUUAAAUAUUCCCUUCACUUCCUUGUUGCGUUAUACAUUGCUUCGUUUAUUGGUUAUCUUUCCUUACUUGUUCAACCAAUUUUUAUAUUUCGCAUUUUUUAGCAGUUUGAAAUAAAAAUACUCUUUGGCGAAAAAAUCUUAGCCAUAACUAGAAAAGUUUUUCUUGUGAAGGGCUUGAAGAGAUAUAUUCAUAUAAAAAAUUCAAAAUAUUAAUUAAUUAUUGUCAGGCUCUUAUUUCCUGGUGUUCAUUUCAUGGCCUACACUAUAUUUUCGGCUUCCUUGAAAGCAAAACAUCUUUGUUUUAGGGUUCGCGUUUUUUUCUCGUAAUGUGUUUAUGGAAAAACCGUUAGCGUUAAUGACACUUAAGUAUGUAAUUAUAAUUUGUUUGUUUGUUGAUUUUAGCACUUCAUCUUUGUUUUCUUUUGCUUUUAAUUAUUGUGUGUACUCGGCCCAUUUCCGUGUUGGCACGAGCCCGGCACGAGCCACGAGACGUUUUUUGUCUAGUGUACUUGUCAAAUAUUUGUACACAUCUUUCGCGGAUUUAAAUGCUGUGAUGUACCGCCACUGUUUCUUCACCUUUUAUUUAAUAGAGAAAAGAAAAUUUUAAGUCCUCGCCCAAUGCGUGACAAAAUCUGAAAUUUCUACAAACAUUUUUUAUCUGUUAAAAUGGUUUAUUCAAUUAAACCACUUUAGAAUUUCCUUUCGAAAUCGAGGCACAAAUCAAGGCGUUGGCCUAUUGUGGAACGUUGUAAAUUUCAUCUAAAGAUAUAAAAAUCAUAACUCUAAGAUUAAAAGUCUAUUUGAGGAAAAAAUCUGUUAAAGGCAUUUUUUAAUUUAGACAAUUUUUCGCAAUUCUGCAUUUGAUUGUGAAUGCAUUUUUCUACUCUUGUUUUCACAGCUUAUCUGUCUAUUAUGUAUUCGUUCUGCACCGACAAUGUUCGAGGGGAUUUUCCCCCAAAUGCUACGUAGCAUGUUUCAUUCUUUUAACAGAUAAUAAUUUUGUGCAAGAAUAUAUAUAUGUAGAUCUAACAUACCCACGCUGUCGACAAUUUUAUUUUCGCUUUGGCGUUUCAGACAUUUUGUGUGUAAGGUACAUUGACCUGUCAGAAUUAUGUCAUUUUUGCCAAAAAUGUAUAUAGUUUGGACUUUAAACUUUUUAAAUCCGUUUAAAAUCUGUCAAUCCAAGUUGUGAUAUUAUUCCAGACAAAGAGACGCUGAUAGCAUUAGGAUUAUCUCAAGGCAGAAUAGAUUAAAUGGACACAAACAAAGAAGAUAUUUUAACAAGAAUAAAUAGGCGAGAAAAAGGGUUUUAUGCCGUAUUCAGUUCUUAAAAAUGUUAUGUUUCUUUUAUAACAAGACCACAUAGUAGCUUUUUUUUAGCUAAUCGAAGUCUCAAUGCAAUAUGUAAUAAAAGAAAUCGUAGACCAAAGAGGCAUUAAUCUGAGUCCUUAACAGAAAGCAAAAAUUUUUAGAUGUAAACAAGGUGUCACUCACAAAUUUGAAACUAGAAUGGCUAAAUUUACUACUGCCUCGCUUUCCAUUUAUAAAAUCCUUCACAAUUGAGAUUUAAUAAAGGAGAGAAAAUAGACUCUCUUAUCAGCUGAUCUGCUACCAGCAUUUUAUUUUCAAGUAAAAAAUAUGUUUACAAAAUCGUGUGGGUUUUUUUUUAAUAUCGCCACAUUUAAUGAGAAAUAAUCAUAUAAUUUCAGACGUCAUUGUAUUUAAUAAAAUUAAAGAGGUUUUUUUUAACAAAUAUAAAUUCUUUGUGUCGCGAAAUUUCUUAUCUAUAAUGUCUAGCUUUUUUCUCAGUUGCGAAAUAACAUCAACGAAUAUUUUGGGUAGAAGUGAUACAUCACCGACAAUUCGUUUUGAAAUUGAACGAAUGUAAUUAUUCGAUUUGGCAAUUCUUAAGUUGAUUUGUCAGAUAAGUAAUUUAGUGAAGUUUUAACUAGAGAAAAAAGAGAGUGAAGCCCGCAAAGUCAUAGGGCUCGACAACGGUAUGUUGAAACAUGACAGAGGACUAACUCGCCUUCCCCUCCCCCAUUCCGCCACCUGCUACAAAAUUACUAUUUUUUGUAAUUCCAUAUUUUUAGUGAAAAAAAGUAAUAUAUUUCGUAAAAGAAAUUAUAUCAUAUGUACUAUUUUUUGUCUUUGCUACAUCUAUGUAACGUUUCAAGUUUUUCAAAUUCGUAAUUUUAGUUUUUGUCCAAUUGUAGUAGGCAAAGUUACCCCAACUUUGUCCCCGGGACUUGUUAGACUUUUUAUAUUUCUGGGGAUGGGGUUGAAGUUACACCGACAACUCGUGUGAGACUCUAGUUUUAUAGUUUCAAAUUUAUAUAGCGUGGUCGCAACAAGGACGUUACCUUCUUCGACCUUUUUUUGUCAAUUGUUAAAUAUAAAAUAUUAAUUUUCUCAUCUACUGCAGCUAAUUUAGCAUUGACUUAACAUUAGGAACAAUUAUCUACAAUUUUUAUUAUGUUAAAUCCUCCAUUUUAUCUAACAACUUUUAUUUUGUCCAACAAUUCAGGCGCGUUUUGACAAAUAUUCGUGCAAAUUGUAACGUGUCAUCCUUUGAAGUUUUGCCAGACAUGACGUCAUCAGUGUCACCCAUUAUUCUUCAAAAACCCUAUGGGUGCCCUUUUAGAAGUCAAAUAUUGCCUUAACUCCUGAUGAGAAAACGUUUUGAGUUCAAAGUAAAGCAUUACGUAUAAUGUGAGUCGGACUUUUUUUAUUUAACACAACUUAAGCAGACUAUAAAUGCACAUUCACGGCGAGGUUUCAUAGGAAAAAUAUUUUAGAAAAAUUAUAAAAAUGGUUUUUUUAAACAACCCAGUGGGGAGUGUCUACGCUUCGGGUUGCAGAGUUUCGGGUUACCUGUCCACGUCAAAACAAAUUGAUUUUCCCUUUUUUCAUAAUGUGACAGUAAUAGGAUUGAAUAAUACAAGCUACCUCAAUACACAUUUUGAUCGCCAUCUUGAAUAAGAGCUCCCGGAAACGCGGCAAACAUAAAAAAAAUUGUUAUUCAAAUUUUAGUAGGGGACUCGUAGGAAAGUCUUUCGUAUUUCUCAACAGAGACAGAAGAAUUUUCGGGUUUUAACGUUGGAUUUGUUGCUCUGCCUGAAGUUAAUUCGCUAGAAUUAUAAACGAGAUGUAACGGCUGUUAAAAACCUGUAGCCCAACCCAUUCCUACAAUCAGCACACCCCUAAGUAGCCCUAUGACGUCAAUAAUCGGGUUAAAUCAAAAAAAAGUUUAAGCAAAUGGCGGAGUAGUAAUUAAGGUGGAGAAAAACAAAAAUGUUUGUUUACUCAAUACAAUGUUAUGAGCGUUUCAAGGUUAACUUAUUUGGGAAUGGGAUGUACAUUUUUUUUCUAAACGAAAGUGUGGACAAGGUGUCAUCGUUUGAAAUGUAUUUUAUUUAUUUUUAUUCACUUGUUCUGUUUCACAUUUCCCCCCAAAAAAGUGACAAAAUAAUUUUGGGACUUUUAUUAUCGAUGUGAUACAGUUUCACAAUUCUAAGAAUUUUUUUUCAUCUUCUAUCGGUGUCAGUUUGGUUUCAUUCUUGAAAUUCAGGUUACUAGUGAAAAUUUAACUUAAAAUUUUUGUCGAAACAUAAGGGGUUUUUUAACUAGCGAUAAAACAGAACAGUCAAAUUAAAAUUCGGUUUGAAAAUAUUUUUUUAAAGACAACUUUGUACACGGUGCCUGACAAGAAAUAUCCUUGCCCGUACGCCCUGUUAAUUUUUGCCACGUGGUAAAAGCGUGGUGGUUAUUCAAAUACAAUGUGGCUGCAAUAUUUAGGUUACGUUUAAAUGGCAACACCCUUCCCAAAAAAAAAU